Molecule: unclassified non-coding RNA, 378 nt
Filed under: plant metagenome
Description: partial contains 5.8S ribosomal RNA, internal transcribed spacer 2, and large subunit ribosomal RNA
Rfam family: 5.8S ribosomal RNA (bases 1-105)
Source: RNAcentral
GAAAUGCGAUAAGUAAUGUGAAUUGCAGAAUUCAGUGAAUCAUCGAAUCUUUGAACGCACCUUGCGCUCCUUGGUAUUCCUUGGAGCAUGCCUGUUUGAGUAUCAUGAAAUCUUCAAAGUAAAUCUUUUGUUAACUCAAUUGGUUUCUACUUUGGUAUUGGAGGUCUUUGCAGCUUCACACCUGCUCCUCUUUGUUCAUUAGCUGGACCUCAGUGUUAUGCUUGGUUCCACUCGGCGUGAUAAGUUAUCUAUCGCUGAGGACACUGUAAAAGGUGGCCAAGGUAAAUGCAGAUGAACCGCUUCUAAUAGUCCAUUGACUUGGACAAUACUUUUAUGAUCUGAUCUCAAAUCAGUUAGGACUACCCGCUGAACUUAAGC